CCUACGGGAGGCAGCAGUGGGGGAUAUUGGACAAUGGGGGGAACCCUGAUCCAGCGACGCCGCGUGAGUGAAGAAGUAUCUCGGUAUGUAAAGCUCUAUCAGCAGGGAAGAAGAAAUGACGGUACCUGAGUAAGAAGCUCCGGCUUACUACGUGCCAGCCGCCGCGGUAAUACGUAGGGGGCAAGCGUUAUCCGGAAUUACUGGGUGUAAAGGGAGCGUAGACGGUGAUGUAAGUCUGGAGUGAAAGGCGAGGGCCCAAACCACGGACUGCUCUGGAAACUAGGUGACUAGAGUGCAGGAGAGGUGAGCGGAAUUCCUAGUGUAGCGGUAAAAUGCGUAGAUAUUAGGAGGAACACCAGUGGCGAAGGCGGCUGACUGGACUGUAACUGACGUUGAGGCUCGAAAGCGUGGGGAGCAAACAGGAUUAGAUACCCGUGUAGUC
Molecule: ribosomal RNA, 442 nt
Filed under: uncultured bacterium
Lineage: Bacteria
Description: partial 16S ribosomal RNA
Rfam family: Bacterial small subunit ribosomal RNA
Source: RNAcentral